ACGGGCCCUAGCGGCUUGGCGGAGCUGGAGCCCUCCCUGGCAGUGCGUCGCGCUGGGCUAUGGCCCCCUCCUCUCCGGGGGAUCGUCGCCUUGGUACCCCGACCCUAGGAGUCGGGCAGGGCAGAACCAGGCUAAAGAAACGUCCAGCGUAGCUUCAAGGAUGCACCGCGUCAUCCCUAUCGGAUCUCCCCGACGCGUCAGGCCUGCCUAGACGGUGUUGGGAGCGCGUCUCCUUGAACGUUGUCCCGCCUGGGAUUGCGAGGGCUCACCUGAAACUUCAUGUACCAUUGCACUUCCUGAGAAGCUGUCCCCAAUCCCAGGCUCCUAGCAAUGCUGUUCCAGUAAUCUCUCUUCUGUAAGACAGCCACUCCACCCACUGCAGUCUACAAGGAAAGCCUCCAUAGCUCUGAUUAUUCAGUAAGAACAGUCUCAGGAAAACAGGACCUUCAACAGAGAUAAGAGAAUUAAAAUAUGCAGACUAACAACUCUGGGAAUGGGCUGACCAGCCUGAUAAGAAUAGGCUGAUGGCACCUACAGAAGGCCACAAAACACUGACCAAGAAAGCAAUGACCAACAAAGCAAUGACCUGAGACUGCACAUUUCACAAGAAUGUUUUGAUCAUCAUUUUUUCUAAUUUCCCUUAAAAACCCCUGAUAUGGAGACAGAACUCGGCGGUCUUUGAACACUAGUUCACUGCCUCCCCUGGGUUGUUGGAUUCCUGAAUAAAGCUAACCAUCCUUUCACCAAUGCUCAUCUCUUGAACUUUCAAGUGACAAGUGGUCUGGACCUGAAUUUCGUUACAAAACCUAUGUAUACCUUACCUUACAUGGCAAAGGGGACUUUAGAAGUGCAAUUAAAUUAAGGAUCUUGAGAGGGGGUUAUCCUGGAUUAUCUGGUUGGGCCCAAUGUAUUUGUAAGUGAUAGAGGGAGGCAGGUGAGUAAAAAAAGGAAACGUGAUGAUGAAAGCACAAGUCAAAAUGUGAUUGCUGGCUUUGAAAAUGGAUGGAAGCCACACCCCAGGGAUCGUGGACAGCCUUUAGAACCAGAAAAGGACAAGGAAACAGAUUCUCCAGUCCUCUAGAACCUCCAGAAGGAACAUGGCUCUGCUAAUACUAUGAUAUUAGCCCUUUCAGACUGAUUUCAGACUUCUGACCAGCAGAGGUAUAAAUCAUAAUUAUAUUGAUUUAAGCCACUGAAUUAGUGGUUAUUAGUAACGGCAGCAACAGGAAACUAUAUCAGCAACAAGACUCCCUCCUUCAUAGAACCCAAUUCCCAACCAAUUUUCAAACUUUCACAGAAAAUCUUGCCACACACUGAGACUAGGAACAUCCAACAAAAAAAUGCUAUCACUUUCAAAUGGAAAACCCAGGAUUGUAGAGAAGAUCAAAUUUUGUCAUGUAUCACAUUUAAACACUCAUCUCUACCUCACCAAACCGUGGUACUAAUGUGUACCAAUCUUAAAAGGAGGUAUUUCUGUUCCCUCAGAGUUCUGGGCAGAAGACUAUGCCUGUGGACAAUGUAGAAUUAUCUGCUGAAUGAAUAUCUGAAAACUGUUUGGAGAGGGGAAAAGCAUUGAGAAGAAUUGGGCUCUUUGCUACUAUUACUCGCUAGAAUGGGAGACGUUUGGAAGCAGUUCCCUUAAGGAACCAAACAAGGCAGGAAAUUCUGGGAUAAAUCUGGUGUUCACAUUACACAACAAAAUGAUUGUACUUCAACAAGGAAAGAAACAGCAACUCACGUGGGGCAUGGUUUUUUAGAACUGAUCAAUUUUCUGGGUUCUUCUCCUGGAGGUGUGCAAAGUCCAGAGAAGCCAGUGCUGGACAAGGAACAAAAGCCACAAGAUUAGACUUGGCUCACAGCCCACAAAAUAAACUACUUAGAACUACCUUUACUUCUCCUCUUUUGGGAAUUUGGAAAAAAUCUCAGUUCUUCCACAAACCCAAUGGAAGCCAGCUACUGCAGAAGGGGUUCAGGCAGACCUUUCCUUAAUGUCCAUGUUGAACAGGACCCUAGGUGCUGUUACUUUCCCAUGGCAUCUCCUCCUCCACAGUAGAACAGAGGCAUGCCCAGGGAGCCCCCCACCAUCCUCCUGGACCCAAACACUAAGUCAGGUACUUUGCUCCCAAUCUUAGGAAGGGGCUUCAGAGACCAAAAUGUGGCCUUCUUUCAGAUGUCAUGAACAUCAGCUAGACUCACAGACAUUUUGACAGACAUAUCAGGGUCAACAGAUCCAAAACAGUCUCAUCCCACUCCCCUGAAUCUAGUUCUUUCCUGCCUGUUUACUCUUCCCUAUAAAAGAAAAUUCCUUUAUGCCUGACCUUUGCUAUGCUUGCAGAUCUUAUGGCUGGAGUAUUCUCCCAAUUACAACACCUCCUCCCUUACUGCAGUGUUCCUGUGAAUAAAGUCAUUCCUUACCAAAGUCUGGAUUUGUUUUUUUAUUUCACAGGUUGAAUAACUUUUGUAGAAUAACAAAACAAACUAUUUUAACUGUAACCUAAUUCUCCAAGCCAUGGCACACACAGAAGCACGGAGGGUCAAAUAGGAGCAACAUCCACAUGACAGCCAAUGUGCGCACAGCACGCCCCCUCUUGCAAUAUGACUUCAAGAUUGAGCAAGUUCCCCAACUACAGCCACCUACUUGCCAUAGUUGUGUAGCACUGAUCUUUUUUUUUUUUGGUAGCAUUGAUCUUGCAUACAUGUAUAAUCCAUGAACUUAACAUCAAUGUUGCUUGUGUGAUACCAAGAAAACCCAGUAAGAGAGCAAGUAAAUAAUUUAAGUAAGAUUUUGUUGGGUAUAGUUGAGCUUUGAAGCACCAUAAGCCAUUGUACUAAGAUUUUGUCCUCCCCGCUAACCAAUUUUCACCUCCUUUGAGGCAAUAUCAUCGUCAUUAAGAAUACAUGGGUUGGCUGCACGCAGUGGCUCACGCCUGUAAUCCCAGGGAGGCCGAGGCAGGCAGAUCACUUGAGGUCAGGAGUUCAAGACCAGCCUGGCCAACAUGGCUACUAAAAAAUACAAAAAUUAGCCAGGCAUGGUGGCACAUGCCUGUAGUCCCAGCUACUUGGGAGGCUAAGGCAGAAGAAUCACUUGUACGCGGGAGGUGGA
This 3103-nucleotide long non-coding RNA is filed under the name Pan troglodytes (chimpanzee). Its description in RNAcentral is "long non-coding RNA NONPTRT008108". The record is from RNAcentral. Lineage: Eukaryota; Metazoa; Chordata; Mammalia; Primates; Hominidae.